Molecule: small nuclear RNA, 164 nt
Organism: Bos grunniens (domestic yak)
Lineage: Eukaryota; Metazoa; Chordata; Mammalia; Artiodactyla; Bovidae
Gene: U1
Rfam family: U1 spliceosomal RNA
About the family: U1 is a small nuclear RNA (snRNA) component of the spliceosome (involved in pre-mRNA splicing). Its 5' end forms complementary base pairs with the 5' splice junction, thus defining the 5' donor site of an intron.
Source: Ensembl
AUACUUACCUGGCAGGGGAGGUACCAUGAUCAAGAAGGUGGUUCUCCCAGGGAGAGGCUUAGUCAUUGCACUGCAGGUGUGUUGACCUCUGCGAUUUCUGCAAAUGUGGGAAACUUGAUGGCAUAACUUCUGGUAGUGGGGGACUGCAUUCAAGUUCUUUUAUU